This 490-nucleotide ribosomal RNA is filed under the name uncultured bacterium. RNAcentral's name for it is "partial 16S ribosomal RNA". It matches the Rfam family "Bacterial small subunit ribosomal RNA", at positions 29 to 507 of the family's 1533-position model. The record is from RNAcentral.
AGUGAACGCUGGCGGUAGGCCUAACACAUGCAAGUCGAACGGCAGCACAGGAGAGCUUGCUCUCUGGGUGGCGAGUGGCGGACGGGUGAGGAAUACAUCGGAAUCUGCCCAGUCGUGGGGGAUAACGUAGGGAAACUUACGCUAAUACCGCAUACGACCUUCGGGUGAAAGAGGGGGAUCGCAAGACCUCUCGCGAUUGGAUGAGCCGAUGUCGGAUUAGCUAGUUGGCGGGGUAAUGGCCCACCAAGGCGACGAUCCGUAGCUGGUCUGAGAGGAUGAUCAGCCAAACUGGAACUGAGACACGGUCCAGACUCCUACGGGAGGCAGCAGUGGGGAAUAUUGGACAAUGGGCGCAAGCCUGAUCCAGCCAUACCGCGUGGGUGAAGAAGGCCUUCGGGUUGUAAAGCCCUUUUGUUGGGAAAGAAAUCUUUCAGGCUAAUACCCUGGGAGGAUGACGGUACCCAAAGAAUAAGCACCGGCUAACUUCGUG